Molecule: long non-coding RNA, 1252 nt
Filed under: Homo sapiens (human)
Lineage: Eukaryota; Metazoa; Chordata; Mammalia; Primates; Hominidae
Description: HSALNT0345966
Source: RNAcentral
AUUUGCUGCCAAAGCUCCUAACUCCCCACCACACAUACAUACAUGCGCGCACGCAAACACACAAACACACAAAAACACAACACACAAAACACACACAAACACACAUGCACAAACACACGCACACACACAAACAUGCAUACACACGCAAACGUGCACAAACACGCAAACACAUGCAGGCACACACAAACACGCCCACAACACAGACACGCACGCACACAAACACACAUGCACGCACAAACGCAUACACAGACACGCACACAAACGCACGCACAGACAAACGCACACACACAACACCCAAACACGCACAAGGACGCACACACACGCACACACAAAUACCCAUGCACACGCAAACACGUACACAAACACAUACACACAAACACGCACAAACACAUGCAUGCACACACACAUGCAGGCACACACAAACACAAACACGCACACACACAAACACACGCAAACACACACACACAAACAACACACCCCGCCACCUGCGAUGGCUUUUCCGUUCUCUAUUAACACAUUUAUUCAUCACUGUGUUGUCUCUCCUUGGGGGAAAUUUUCCUUGGCAGAUCGCAAUCAAAAGUUUUCAGAGAACUAUUUACCCAUCUUUCCUAGUGUAGGAAAGGAUAAAAACUUUCUUUACCCUCCUAGGUUCAGAAGCUGAGAACUGUGAAUUAAACUAACAAAGUACAGAUUACCAGGAAAAAAAAAAAGGUUUAUUUUGCAUGCACAAGGAGGCUUCACAGAAAAGAAGUGAAAACUCAAAAAGUAAUUAGGCCUGGGAGCAUGUAUCAUUUUAACAAAGGGUGAUGCAUUGUGGAAAAGUAGACAAAGGAAAGGUUUUGGACUUCUAGGGGCAGUAGAUUUUAAGAAGGUAAAUAUAUAGGGGAAAACUAAUGAAAGAUAAGGGCUAUUUUAGUAAUGUUUUCACAGACUCCAAUAAAUGCUGUUUACUGGGGCAUAGGAGUUGCAUCCUCUCCCUGGUCUGGGAAAUGUAAAUAUUUAUAAGUAGAAAAAUUUGUUUACACAUUUUUUGGGGGCCAGGCGCAGUGGCUCACACCUGUAAUUUCAGCACUCUGGGAGGCCCAGGUGGGCCGAUCACUUGAAGCCAGGAGUUCAAGACCAGCCUGGCCAACAUGGUGAAACCCUGUCUCUACCUAAAAAUACAAAAAUUAGCCAGGCAUUGUGGCUCAUGACUGUAAUCCCAGCUACUUGGGAGGCUGAGGCAGGAAAAUCACUUUAACCAAGAGGCAGA